This 487-nucleotide ribosomal RNA is filed under the name uncultured bacterium. RNAcentral describes it as "bacterial SSU rRNA". It matches the Rfam family "Bacterial small subunit ribosomal RNA", at positions 28 to 531 of the family's 1533-position model. The record is from RNAcentral.
GAUGAACGCUAGCGGCAGGCUUAAUACAUGCAAGUCAAGGGGGUAGCAAUACAACCGGCGCACGGGUGAGUAACGCGUACACAACAUACCAUAUACUGGGGUAUAGCUUUGGGAAACUGAAGGUAAUCCCCCAUAACAUUGCGAGAGGGCAUCUGAUUGCAAUUAGAGUUUCGGCGGUAUAUGAUUGGUGUGCGUUUGAUUAGCUAGUUGGUAGGGUAACGGCCUACCAAGGCGACGAUCAAUAGCUGGCGUGAGAGCGCGACCAGCCACACUGGAACUGAGACACGGUCCAGACUCCUACGGGAGGCAGCAGUGAGGAAUAUUGCACAAUGGGAGAAAUCCUGAUGCAGCGACGCCGCGUGUGGGAAGAAGGAGCUUAGCUUCGUAAACCACUGUCGGAGGGGACGAAUGGUAGGUUAGACCUACUGAGACGGUACCCUCAAAGGAGGAUCGGCUAACUACGUGCCAGCAGCCGCGGUAAUGUAGU